GACAGAGGGGGCGAACGUUGUUCGGAAUUACUGGGCGUAAAGCGCAUGUAGGCGGCAGCGCAAGUCGGGCGUGAAAUCCCACGGCUCAACCGUGGAAGUGCACUCGAAACUGCGCAGCUAGAGUCCUGGAGAGGAAGGUGGAAUGCUUGGUGUAGAGGUGAAAUUCGUAGAUAUCAAGCGGAACACCGGUGGCGAAGGCGGCCUUCUGGACAGUGACUGACGCUGAGAUGCGAAAGCGUGGGGAGCAAACAGG
Molecule: ribosomal RNA, 253 nt
Filed under: uncultured bacterium
Lineage: Bacteria
Description: partial 16S ribosomal RNA
Rfam family: Bacterial small subunit ribosomal RNA
Source: RNAcentral